CUACGGGACGCUGCAGUGAGGAAUAUUGCACAAUGGGGGCAACCCUGAUGCAGCAAUGCCGCGUGAAUGAAGAAGGCCUUCGGGUCGUAAAGUUCUUUUCUAUGUGAAGAGAGAGGACGGUACCAUAGGAAUAAGUCCCGGCUAACUACGUGCCAGCAGCCGCGGUAAAACGUAGGGGGCGAGCGUUAUCCGGAUUUACUGGGCGUAAAGCGCAUGCAGGCGGCUUGAUAAGAUAGACGUGAAAGUUCCCGGCUCAACUGGGAGAGGUCGUUUAUGACUGUCAGGCUUGAGUUAGGUAGAGGAGAGCAGAAUUCCCGGUGUAGUGGUGGAAUGCGUAGAUAUCGGGAGGAAUACCAGUGGCGAAAGCGGCUCUCUGGGCCUAAACUGACGCUCAGAUGCGAAAGCGUGGGGAGCAAACGGGAUUAGAUACCCUCGUAGUC
Molecule: ribosomal RNA, 440 nt
Filed under: uncultured bacterium
Lineage: Bacteria
Description: partial 16S ribosomal RNA
Rfam family: Bacterial small subunit ribosomal RNA
Source: RNAcentral